CAGCACCUCAAGUGGUCAGGAUGAUUAUUGGGCCUAAAGCAUCCGUAGCCGGCGCUGUAAGUUUUCGGUUAAAUCUGUGCGCUCAACGUACAGGCUGCCGGGAAUACUGCAGCGCUAGGGAGUGGGAGAGGUAGACGGUACUCGGUAGGAAGGGGUAAAAUCCUUUGAUCUAUUGAUGACCACCUGUGGCGAAGGCGGUCUACCAGAACACGUCCGACGGUGAGGGAUGAAAGCUGGGGGAGCAAACCGGAUUAGAUACCCGAGUAGUCC
Molecule: ribosomal RNA, 270 nt
Filed under: uncultured archaeon
Lineage: Archaea
Description: partial 16S ribosomal RNA
Rfam family: Archaeal small subunit ribosomal RNA
Source: RNAcentral